AUUGAACGCUGGCGGCAGGCCUAACACAUGCAAGUCGAGCGGAUGAAGGGAGCUUGCUCCUGGAUUCAGCGGCGGACGGGUGAGUAAUGCCUAGGAAUCUGCCUGGUAGUGGGGGAUAACGUCCGGAAACGGGCGCUAAUACCGCAUACGUCCUGAGGGAGAAAGUGGGGGAUCUUCGGACCUCACGCUAUCAGAUGAGCCUAGGUCGGAUUAGCUAGUUGGUGGGGUAAAGGCCUACCAAGGCGACGUUCCGUAACUGGUCUGAGAGGAUGAUCAGUCACACUGGAACUGAGACACGGUCCAGACUCCUACGGGAGGCAGCAGUUGGGAAUAUUGGACAAUGGGCGAAAGCCUGAUCCAGCCAUGCCGCGUGUGUGAAGAAGGUCUUCGGAUUGUAAAGCACUUUAAGUUGGGAGGAAGGGCAGUAAGUUAAUACCUUGCUGUUUUGACGUUACCAACAGAAUAAGCACCGGCUAACUUCGUG
This 484-nucleotide ribosomal RNA is filed under the name uncultured bacterium. RNAcentral describes it as "partial 16S ribosomal RNA". It matches the Rfam family "Bacterial small subunit ribosomal RNA", at positions 30 to 507 of the family's 1533-position model. The record is from RNAcentral.